UGGGAACCUUCCCUUCGGUCGGGAAUAGCUCAGGGAAACUUGAGGUAAUACCGGAUACGCCCUAACGGGGAAAGAUUUAUCGCCGUUGGAUGGGCCCGCGUCGGAUUAGCUAGUUGGUGAGGUAAUGGCUCACCAAGGCGACGAUCCGUAGCUGGUCUGAGAGGAUGAUCAGCCUCACUGGGACUGAGACACGGCCCAGACUCCUACGGGAGGCAG
This 216-nucleotide ribosomal RNA is filed under the name uncultured bacterium. Its description in RNAcentral is "partial 16S ribosomal RNA". It matches the Rfam family "Bacterial small subunit ribosomal RNA", at positions 118 to 351 of the family's 1533-position model. The record is from RNAcentral.